RNAcentral lists this unclassified non-coding RNA (287 nucleotides) under uncultured Tremellales. RNAcentral describes it as "sequence contains 5.8S rRNA gene, ITS2, 28S rRNA gene". The stretch from base 1 to 52 matches the Rfam family "5.8S ribosomal RNA", at positions 103 to 154 of the family's 154-position model. Lineage: Eukaryota; Fungi; Basidiomycota; Tremellomycetes; Tremellales. The record is from RNAcentral.
AACGCACCUUGCGCCUUUUGGUAUUCCGAAAGGCAUGCCUGUUUGAGUGUCAUGAAAUCUCAAUCCCGUCUGGUUUAUGACCUGGCUGGGACUUGGACAUGGGCGUCUGCCGGUUACACGGCUCGCCUCAAAUGACUUAGUGGGAUCGCUAGCAUCCGUGACAGACGUAAUAAGUUUCGUCUUGUCCAUUGCCAAGCGUCAAGCCUGCUCAGAACCCUUCUCGCCCCCUGCGGCAGAAACCUUUUGACUCUGACCUCAAAUCAGGUAGGACUACCCGCUGAACUUAA